This 1004-nucleotide ribosomal RNA is filed under the name uncultured Campylobacterota bacterium. Its description in RNAcentral is "bacterial SSU rRNA". It matches the Rfam family "Bacterial small subunit ribosomal RNA", at positions 8 to 1027 of the family's 1533-position model. The record is from RNAcentral. Lineage: Bacteria; Pseudomonadati; Campylobacterota.
AGAGUUUGAUCAUGGCUCAAAAUGAACGCUGGCGGCGUGCUUAACACAUGCAAGUCGAACGGAAACAGGAAGAGCUUGCUCUUUGCUGUCGAGUGGCGCACGGGUGAGUAAUAUAUAGUUAACGUGCCUCUUAGCCUGGGAUAGCCACUGGAAACGGUGAUUAAUACCGGAUACGCCUUCUACUUACAAGAGUAGUUGGGAAAGGUUUUUCGCUAAGAGAUCGGACUAUAUUGUAUCAGCUAGUUGGUGAGGUAAGAGCUCACCAAGGCAAUGACACAUAGCGGGUUUGAGAGGAUGAUCCGCCACACUGGUACUGAGACACGGACCAGACUCCUACGGGAGGCAGGCAGUGAGGAAUAUUGCACAAUGGGCGAAAGCCUGAUGCACCAACGCCGCGUGGAGGAUGACGCAUUUCGGUGUGUAAACUCCUUUUAUAAGAGAAGAAAAUGACGGUAUCUUAUGAAUAAGUCCCGGCUAACUCCGUGCCAGCAGCCGCGGUAAUACGGAGGGGACAAGCGUUAUUCGGAAUCACUGGGCGUAAAGGACGCGUAGGCGGGUUAUUAAGUCGGGUGUGAAAUCCAAUGGCUCAACCAUUGAACUGCAUUCGAAACUGAUAACCUAGAGUAUGGAAGGGGCAGGUGGAAUUAGUGGUGUAGGGGUAAAAUCCGUAGAUAUCACUAGGAAUACCGAAAGCGAAGGCGACCUGCUGGGACAUUACUGACGCUGAGGCGUGAAAGCGUGGGGAGCAAACAGGAUUAGAUACCCUGGUAGUCCACGCCCUAAACGAUGAAUGCUAGUCGUCGGGGAGCUCGUCUCUUCGGUGAUGCACUUAACAGAUUAAGCAUUCCGCCUGGGGAGUACGGUCGCAAGAUUAAAACUCAAAGGAAUAGACGGGGACCCGCACAAGUGGUGGAGCAUGUGGUUUAAUUCGAAGAUACGCGAAGAACCUUACCUAGCCUUGACAUUGAUUGAUCUUCCAGAGAUGGAGGAGUGCCUUCGGGAAC